GAUGAACGCUGGCGGCGUGCCUAAUACAUGCAAGUCGAGCGAACGGACGAGAAGCUUGCUUCUCUGAUGUUAGCGGCGGACGGGUGAGUAACACGUGGAUAACCUACCUAUAAGACUGGGAUAACUUCGGGAAACCGUAGCUAAUACCGGAUAAUAUUUUGAACCGCAUGGUUCAAAAGUGAAAGACGGUCUUGCUGUCACUUAUAGAUGGAUCCGCGCUGCAUUAGCUAGUUGGUAAGGUAACGGCUUACCAAGGCAACGAUGCAUAGCCGACCUGAGAGCGUGCAGCGCCACACGGGAACGUGACCCGGGCCCAGACCCCGAGGGGAGGGGAAGGAGGGGAAUCUUCCGCAAGGGGAGAAGACCUGACGGAAGCCGCGGGGGUGAGUGAAAGAGGUUUUGGGAUCUAAAAUCUGUUUUAGUGGGGAAAAAAAUAUUUGUAAGAAACUGAACCCUUCUGGGGGGAACUUAAUAAAAAGGCCACGGCUAACUACGUC
RNAcentral lists this ribosomal RNA (497 nucleotides) under uncultured bacterium. RNAcentral describes it as "partial 16S ribosomal RNA". It matches the Rfam family "Bacterial small subunit ribosomal RNA", at positions 28 to 507 of the family's 1533-position model. The record is from RNAcentral.